GUUGACAUACAUCAGCUGAUCGAAUCAAAACAACCGAAACGCACGAGAAGAAACGGACACCUUAUUUUCGGACGAUUGUGUAGAAGAAAACCAAUAGCCAGACCCAGGAGAAGAGCCUGUUUUGAACAAUGAAUAUAUGAAAAAGGGCCCGAAAUAAAAAGAAAAGCGUGAAUGACGGUGACUUUGAAGAAGAUUGACCAAGAGGCGGAAUAAUAGCCGGCUAGGAGAACACAUCAUCACACCUGAUCAACAAACACAGUUUUGCAAUAAAUAAACACGGAUCACUCGCCUUCUAAGAACUACUGCAUUCCAAGAUACAAAAAAAAAAAAAGCUUUCUAAGAGGGACAGAGAUAUACUAGACAGAAAACAGAAGAUCAAAAGAAGAAAAAUAGGAGAAUGAAAAAGAAGAGAUUAUAACCCCCUAUAAAAGAAGAAAGAAGAUGACAACAUUGUCUCAGAGCAGAGUGGUUGGGCUGGGGAAGUAGCUUGCCAAGGGAUAUAAGAAUUUCUCAUGAGUGGAGAACCCGAUCAGGCACCAUGGCUGAGGAUGGCAUUUCAGUUGGAGGAGUUUGCAUCAAGGAAGAGGUUCUUGGAGGCCAGAGUGAGGAGAAUUUUCUUGAAAUAAAGGAAGAAGGUGUUGAUCACAUAGAAGAAAUGAAUAGGAUCUAUAUAAAGAUGGAAGAAGAUGAAGUCGUGAAAAGCAAGUGCACUUUAUCAGUGCAAAUUGAUGAG
This 733-nucleotide long non-coding RNA is filed under the name Penaeus japonicus. RNAcentral's name for it is "uncharacterized LOC122265923". Lineage: Eukaryota; Metazoa; Arthropoda; Malacostraca; Decapoda; Penaeidae. The record is from RNAcentral.